This 3978-nucleotide ribosomal RNA is filed under the name Triticum aestivum (bread wheat). RNAcentral describes it as "partial small subunit ribosomal RNA". Lineage: Eukaryota; Viridiplantae; Streptophyta; Magnoliopsida; Poales; Poaceae. The record is from RNAcentral.
GCCAGUCUUAUCGGAAAAGGGGCGGGCCGUGAUAGCGGUGGCUUUAGGGGAGAAGGAGGAGUGAGGUUAAGUCUUUAGGGGUUUAGCUACAUCGGCCCUCGCUCUAUCCCUGAUGUCGGCCGCGCCCGGAGCAGCUGCCGAAGACGCCGUCGCGACGGCGCGCCCCUCCUGGCCGCUCCCGCUCCAACGACGAGACCUUCCCACCUCUACCACGCGCCGCCGGCCUGGUUCUCGUCGGCGACCGUAGCCAAACCUCGAUUCGAUCGAACGAACGAACCCAACUACGCCAGCGGCCUGUCUCCUCCUCCGUGGCGGCGUCGCCAUCUUCUGCUGCCUCCUCCUCCUCCUCUUGGAGGCGGGUGCCACUGCCUUGCUCAGGUGCUAUCUUUCCUAUUAGAGGGGUGUCAAGCCGACGAGAAGGGAGGGGUGGAAGAGCCGGUCCCACGACCCACCUCGCUCGCACCGAGCCUCUGCCGCUACCUCCGCCGAGAAGACCCGCCUAAGUAGUUCCAGUAGGACGGCUCCGAGAAGAGAGAGUAGCUGCUGUUCAUGUUCGACGUGUCCCCGCAGUUCUCGCUGCAGUCCAAGGAGCACUUCCUCGAGGCGUACUAGCAGCCGCGGUAGCUGCUGCUGCUCGAGAGCCGCUGGAGGAGGCGGCGGCGCGCGGAGAGCUAGGUCCUGGACGCGCUCGACCGGGUGCCGUAUCUCCUGACGUAGCUGCCGGAGUACAUAGCGCGGUGGACCCUCGUGGUCCGCAGGAAGGAGGCGGCCUCGCAAGCCGAAGCCGGGGGGUCCCGCGAGUUCUGGCCGCGCGUCGAGCGAGCCCUCUACGUCGCCGAGUCCGCCUACCGCUUCCUUCGCGUGCUCGCCUUCGCCUCCAUGCGCCGGCUGAAGGGGCGGCCGCCGGUCGGGAGGAGACGGUGCGUCGACCACCUGCUCAGCGGGAGGAGGGGCAGGCUAGGCGCGUAGGAACUGCGCCUAGACCAGCCGCAGCUCCCCGGGGAGCGCCUCGACGACCUCGUCGACCGACUCCCCGCUGGGUCGGUCGACUUCCACUAGCGGCAGCAGCCCAAAACGCCGAACCCCUUCUGGCGGGAGCGGCGCCUUCACAUGUUGGCUCUUUGGGCGUCGCUCUCUAAACUCUCCGUGCGCACCCAAAUACGCCGCGACUUCUCGGGUGCCCUCCACGAUCGCCUGGACGAGGCCUUUGAAUCGAGGCUGCGGGGAAGAACGGUCCCCUUUUCACAUGACCUCUGGAGGCUACAGCCGGUUGAGACGUGUCUUGACUUUGUUGUAAACCACUACUCCUCUAUAAAGUAACACUAACUACUGUAAGCUUGUCUUCUAGUCACCUUUUGGUAGUUUAGACGGAACGGUCGUCUAUUCCUAUAAUCGUCGUCUUAUGACCACUGCUGCUGAUAAGUCAGUCAUCGAUUACGGACGUCAAGAUCAUUACCGAUACAAGUGUUUUACUCGUCUGAACUAUUUUACACGAGCUUUGUUAACAAGUGGUUCUUUCGAACAGGCCUGUUUAUAAGUACAAUGUUCGUCGGACUAGGUCGCCUUCAAAACUUCUUUACACUGCCGGUCGGUGAACGCGACCACUGUUAUCCACUUAAGAACGUUCGUUUCCCAACCGGUUGUCCUGGAUCGACACUUCUGUAGACGUGGGUCUAUCCAAUAGUGGACCUCUUACUGUUCUCGAAGCUUUUUUACGCUGCACACGACUAAGUAUUGAUGUGGUGAGACGGAUCGGUACGAGAGUUUCGGACGAACGAUAUAAAACCAUACAAGGGUUCAUUAGCAGGGUAGUCCUUCUUUUCAGAAAACUCUGCUACCGAACGACUCCCUAAACAUCUUGGCGUUGGAAGCGGCUCGAGGGGCCUAGGGUAUCGACGAAAGUUAAGGGAGUACCUAGCUUUGUAGUAACUCGGUUAGUUAAACUCGUUGUUACUAUUACACUUCUGAACAGUUUGUAUACCGUACUACGCACUCAAGUAAAACGUGUACAGGUAGAGAGUCUUGAAGCAAUGAAACAAAACGUUACUGUUCUAUCUCGGGUUUAUGCAAGCAGCCGAAAGAGAGGUACUCUCGAGACGAUGUCAACAACUGUCAAAAUCGUGACAACUAAAUAGUGAACAGGCCAGAGAUCGUUAGAAGCCCUUCCGUUCAGUUUGACAUAACCUGGAGUCGUUCAUGGUAGAAGACGCUCAUAACCUAGAACUUUUUACACUCCUCAACUUCCUACUAGUACAGUUUCUGUAUACGUUGGACGACGAAGAUUUUAUAGACUCGGAACCCCCACCACAAUGGUGUUAAGGUUCUCUAUAACAAUUUGACUUUGUAAACCAUAGUGAACUACAUUCCUCUUGUUUCCAUGUCUAUGACGUACAUCUUCAGAAGGUCAACGGUAGAAAUUAAGUGAAUAAACCCUUCAAAUUCGAAUGUCUAUAACAGUUCGGUUUUUCACUUCAUGUACUCAAAGAGAGGUUUCCUUUUUCAUUGAAUCUUUGCGAUCGUCCUAAACAAUGGCUACCAUCACCUCCCAAGGACGUAGAAUACCCGAUAUACUUAUUUGACUCAUUCCACUUCUAAAACACACUCAACGGACGUCCGACACGACUGGCUUGACUAGAAUUCCUCCGGUAAGUUGUCAAGUAACUCCUACUUUUCGUCCGUUUAUAACCAAGAGCGAGAAAUAGCGAAGUAAAGCCGUUUACGACACUUCUCGAGGACUUAAGGAAUUUUCCUGGGACGAUGGAGUCGAGUGACUUUAACGUACCACUGAACCGACGUGGAGGAGUCAAACAACACAGUGAAGCCCCGGAGUCCCUCGACACGGAAACCAGAUGAUCUAACUGUCGCCCACAAGAACUUCGAAACUCAUUAAACUCGAUGGACGUCAUGAACUUUGACCAACGACUACUGGAACUGUUCAAGCAGCAUUCUCUGGUCCGCAAGACGUCCGAAGAUGCGGAAAGAAACCUCGACGUUACAGGUUGAAAGGGGUGUUAUCUUCUUCCCCGAGACGGUAAGGAACAGUGUGAGGUCGACGAGACAUUUCUAGACGUGCCGGAAAGACUGGAGUUUUAUCUUGUAGAGUUUGUGGAGUUCCUCCAGUGAGAACUGGGAUCUCAGUGAGGUUGUUGUUCUCCUUGUACCCUCUUCCGACGAUCCCUCGUAGGCUUGUCCGGUUUCCAAAACGACGAGUUUAGACAACUACGUCGUGUUUCACUCGAACGUCUGAUGUGAUAUCGCAGUCUCGGUCGACUUUCACGGUAAGUUCUUUGAUCAUAAGGUCGUGAUGAAUUGGUCCCCGACCACCGUAGUAGGAGACACUACUCCCUUGUCUCGUGAAGACAAAACUCGUUAUACCCCGAGAGUCUCCAAAGAAGACGAAAUUGUACUAAACCGCUGGAGACUGCUAGCCAUCGAAAAGGCUAUUUACCGAGAAAAUAAUAGAAUUUACAGCGUAGUUCGCCUAUAUUUAGUAAUGAUCUUCCCAACCCGCGCGAAACGACGCGGCAACCACAACAACCUAAAGAAUUUUUUUUGAGUGAGACAAAAUUUUAUAUAACACAUAUUAAAAAAACUUUUCAGUUUUAAAAUUUUAAGCUAGUUUAAACAUCUUUCUAUAUUGUUUUAGGUAUUAUAGUUUAGCCAUACUAUCUAAGUAGUACUUUACCCAAAGGUAUGAAAAAACAAAUUAUAACACCUACAACUAUAAAAACGAGCCUUGAACUAUUUUCAAUUUCUUCAAACUAAAAGGUUUUUUGAUUAUGGGAAUAUAAAACAUCGAAUACUAUAUAAAACAAACCGCCCUCACACAAAUAAAAAUAAAUAUUACGUCGCUAAACUACACUGAAAACAUGACACCAGACACAAUAGACGAUUGGUUGUAUAUGAAUACACCCCUUUAAGGUGUAACUACCGGCGUACAUGAUAUUAACACAAUGUAAUAGUGUACUACCGAAAAAA